AUCUAGCCAUGGGCAGGUUGAAGGUUGGGUAACACUAACUGGAGGACCGAACCGACUAAUGUUGAAAAAUUAGCGGAUGACUUGUGGCUGGGGGUGAAAGGCCAAUCAAACCGGGAGAUAGCUGGUUCUCCCCGAAAGCUAUUUAGGUAGCGCCUCGUGAAUUCAUCUCCGGGGGUAGAGCACUGUUUCGGCAAGGGGGUCAUCCCGACUUACCAACCCGAUGCAAACUGCGAAUACCGGAGAAUGUUAUCACGGGAGACACACGGCGGGUGCUAACGUCCGUCGUGAAGAGGGAAACAACCCAGACCGCCAGCUAAGGUCCCAAAGUCAUGGUUAAGUGGGAAACGAUGUGGGAAGGCCCAGACAGCCAGGAUGUUGGCUUAGAAGCAGCCAUCAUUUAAAGAAAGCGUAAUAGCUCACUGGUCGAGUCGGCCUGCGCGGAAGAUGUAACGGGGCUAAACCAUGCACCGAAGCUGCGGCAGCGACGCUUAUGCGUUGUUGGGUAGGGGAGCGUUCUGUAAGCCUGUGAAGGUGUGCUGUGAGGCAUGCUGGAGGUAUCAGAAGUGCGAAUGCUGACAUAAGUAACGAUAAAGCGGGUGAAAAGCCCGCUCGCCGGAAGACCAAGGGUUCCUGUCCAACGUUAAUCGGGGCAGGGUGAGUCGACCCCUAAGGCGAGGCCGAAAGGCGUAGUCGAUGGGAAACAGGUUAAUAUUCCUGUACUUGGUGUUACUGCGAAGGGGGGACGGAGAAGGCUAUGUUGGCCGGGCGACGGUUGUCCCGGUUUAAGCGUGUAGGCUGGUUUUCCAGGCAAAUCCGGAAAAUCAAGGCUGAGGCGUGAUGACGAGGCACUACGGUGCUGAAGCAACAAAUGCCCUGCUUCCAGGAAAAGCCUCUAAGCAUCAGGUAACAUCAAAUCGUACCCCAAACCGACACAGGUGGUCAGGUAGAGAAUACCAAGGCGCUUGAGAGAACUCGGGUGAAGGAACUAGGCAAAAUGGUGCCGUAACUUCGGGAGAAGGCACGCUGAUAUGUAGGUGAAGUCCCUCGCGGAUGGAGCUGAAAUCAGUCGAAGAUACCAGCUGGCUGCAACUGUUUAUUAAAAACACAGCACUGUGCAAACACGAAAGUGGACGUAUACGGUGUGACGCCUGCCCGGUGCCGGAAGGUUAAUUGAUGGGGUCAGCGCAAGCGAAGCUCUUGAUCGAAGCCCCGGUAAACGGCGGCCGUAACUAUAACGGUCCUAAGGUAGCGAAAUUCCUUGUCGGGUAAGUUCCGACCUGCACGAAUGGCGUAAUGAUGGCCAGGCUGUCUCCACCCGAGACUCAGUGAAAUUGAACUCGCUGUGAAGAUGCAGUGUACCCGCGGCAAGACGGAAAGACCCCGUGAACCUUUACUAUAGCUUGACACUGAACAUUGAGCCUUGAUGUGUAGGAUAGGUGGGAGGCUUUGAAGUGUGGACGCCAGUCUGCAUGGAGCCGACCUUGAAAUACCACCCUUUAAUGUUUGAUGUUCUAACGUUGACCCGUGAUCCGGGUUGCGGACAGUGUCUGGUGGGUAGUUUGACUGGGGCGGUCUCCUCCUAAAGAGUAACGGAGGAGCACGAAGGUUGGCUAAUCCUGGUCGGACAUCAGGAGGUUAGUGCAAUGGCAUAAGCCAGCUUGACUGCGAGCGUGACGGCGCGAGCAGGUGCGAAAGCAGGUCAUAGUGAUCCGGUGGUUCUGAAUGGAAGGGCCAUCGCUCAACGGAUAAAAGGUACUCCGGGGAUAACAGGCUGAUACCGCCCAAGAGUUCAUAUCGACGGCGGUGUUUGGCACCUCGAUGUCGGCUCAUCACAUCCUGGGGCUGAAGUAGGUCCCAAGGGUAUGGCUGUUCGCCAUUUAAAGUGGUACGCGAGCUGGGUUUAGAACGUCGUGAGACAGUUCGGUCCCUAUCUGCCGUGGGCGCUGGAGAACUGAGGGGGGCUGCUCCUAGUACGAGAGGACCGGAGUGGACGCAUCACUGGUGUUCGGGUUGUCAUGCCAAUGGCACUGCCCGGUAGCUAAAUGCGGAAGAGAUAAGUGCUGAAAGCAUCUAAGCACGAAACUUGCC
Molecule: ribosomal RNA, 2088 nt
Filed under: Escherichia coli
Lineage: Bacteria; Pseudomonadati; Pseudomonadota; Gammaproteobacteria; Enterobacterales; Enterobacteriaceae
Description: partial 23S ribosomal RNA
Rfam family: Bacterial large subunit ribosomal RNA
Source: RNAcentral